AUCAACUUUCGAUGGUAGGAUAGAGGCCCACCAUGGUUUCAACGGGUAACGGGGAAUAAGGGCUCGAUUCCGGAGAGGGAGCCUGAGAAACGGCUACCACAUCCAAGGAAGGCAGCAGGCGCGCAAAUUACCCAAUCCCGACACGGGGAGGUAGUGACAAUAAAUAACAAUAUAGGGCCCUUUCGGGUCUUAUAAUUGGAAUGAGUACAAUUUAAAUCCCUUAACGAGGAACAAUUGGAGGGCAAGUCUGGUGCCAGCAGCCGCGGUAAUUCCAGCUCCAAUAGCGUAUAUUAAAGUUGUUGCAGUUAAAAAGCUCGUAGUUGAAUUUCGGGAUCGACGGGUCGGUCGCGCCUCUGGUGUGUACUGGCCCUGUCGGUUUCUCCCUUCUGACGAACCACGAUGCCAUUAAUUUGGUGUCGUGGGGAAUCAGGACUGUUACUUUGAAAAAAUUAGAGUGUUUAAAGCAGGCAUUCGCUUGAAUACAUUAGCAUGGAAUAAUGAAAUAGGACGUUUGAUCUUAUUUUGUUGGUUUCUAAGAUCGACGUAAUGAUUAAUAGGGAUAGUUGGGGGCAUUAGUAUUCAAUUGUCAGAGGUGAAAUUCUUGGAUUUAUUGAAGACUAACUACUGCGAAAGCAUUUGCCAAGGAUGUUUUCAUUAAUCAAGAACGAAAGUUAGGGGAUCGAAGACGAUCAGAUACCGUCGUAGUCUUAACCAUAAACUAUGCCGACUAGGGAUCGGAUGAUGUUAAUUUUUUAAUGACUCAUUCGGCGCCUUACGGGAAACCAAAGUGUUUGGGUUC
RNAcentral lists this ribosomal RNA (799 nucleotides) under uncultured Glomus. RNAcentral describes it as "SSU rRNA". It matches the Rfam family "Eukaryotic small subunit ribosomal RNA", at positions 314 to 1114 of the family's 1831-position model. The record is from RNAcentral. Lineage: Eukaryota; Fungi; Glomeromycota; Glomeromycetes; Glomerales; Glomeraceae.